Molecule: long non-coding RNA, 986 nt
Filed under: Nicotiana benthamiana
Lineage: Eukaryota; Viridiplantae; Streptophyta; Magnoliopsida; Solanales; Solanaceae
Description: long non-coding RNA (NBEN_LNC040742)
Source: RNAcentral
UUUGAGCCCUUAGGUAUUAAACCGAUAAACCGCCCAGUAACCGCCCGAUAAGAGCUAACCCGAUACCAAUCCGCCCGAUAUCUUAUCGGGUGGCAAUGAAUACAUUUAAAAGCCGAUAACCAUUAAGCCAAACCGUUAGAGUAAAAAGCCGCCCAAUCCGCCCAAUGAACACCCCUAGGUCACAUGAAAUGCACACCCGAGUUUAGGAAUGUAAUCUUUUUAAAAUCGUGCCUAAAGUGGCUAACACGUUAUUGUCUUUUGGGAAGGCCGUCAAAUUUGCUAAACGGCCCAUCCCGAGCUUCUAAGUAUUUUAAUAAUCAUUUAUUGAGGGACCCACAAUUUUAUAUUUUUAUUGGGCGAGGCUCGUCUCAUUUAUUUUAAAAGGGCAAUCCUAAAGCAACUAUAUUUUCCUAUUUUCGUUUUGCCUCUAAAAGAAAAGAUCCUAAUUAAUUAAUAUUAAAGUCCGGGCUUCAAGUUCAAGUUCAGGUCCAAACAAAAGGAAGAACCUUUUAAUUUGAACCCUCUACCUAACUUGAAACCCAAACUUAUAUUGUUGCUUUAAACUUGAAUUGAACUUCUUUCCUGAGCCCAAAUUGUGGGCCUACCGAACUGGGCUUGAAGUGGGCAUAGGUCCAAAGCCGGCCAUACUAUAUGGAAGAAACAGAGGGAUCGAAUCCCAGGAGGAGCAGACCAACGAAUUAUUCAAGCAUUCAAACAUCUAUUUUACAUUUUUAAAACCGUGAUCCUAUUUUCCUGGAUCCCUGAUUCAUUAGUGUAUAUUUCAAAAGUUAAAAAAACUAAUCCAAACUAAUCAUUAAUAAGUGAACUGGACUAUGAGAACGAGCCAUAUGGAAAUCAAAAUAAUUUGGAAAGCAUUUUUACAGGCAUUGAAAUCAAAACUAAUCUUGACCACUUAACAAUUGAAGACUUGUUAUGAAAUAAUAUAAGAACAAGAACAAUAGAGAGAAAAGUAGAGAGAGGAGUAU